CCUACGGGUGGCAGCAGUGGGGGAUAUUGCACAAUGGGGGGAACCCUGAUGCAGCGACGCCGCGUGGGUGAAGAAGCGCCUCGGCGCGUAAAGCCCUGUCAGCAGGGAAGAAAAUGACGGUACCUGAAGAAGAAGCCCCGGCUAACUACGUGCCAGCAGCCGCGGUAAUACGUAGGGGGCAAGCGUUAUCCGGAUUUACUGGGUGUAAAGGGGGCGCAGACGGCGAUGCAAGCCAGGAGUGAAAGCCCGGGGCUCAACCCCGGGACUGCUCUUGGAACUGCGUGGCUGGAGUGGAGGCGGGGCAGGCGGAAUUCCUGGGGUAGCGGUGAAAGGCGUAGAUAUCAGGAGGAACACCGGUGGCGAAGGCGGCCUGCUGGACUGCAACUGACGUUGAGGCCCGAAAGCGUGGGGAGCAAACAGGAUUAGAUACCCGUGUAGUC
Molecule: ribosomal RNA, 440 nt
Filed under: uncultured bacterium
Lineage: Bacteria
Description: partial 16S ribosomal RNA
Rfam family: Bacterial small subunit ribosomal RNA
Source: RNAcentral